CGAGGAGCAGAGCACUGUAGACGAGAGAGAGUAUGGUCCUACUGAGUUGGGAUCAGUUCAUUUAAAGGUUUCAUUCGUUUAGGCAGGAUUGUCCGUUCGGUGACAAUUGCCACUGUUUCAGAGUGAGUCUGCGGUCCCGAUGAAGAAUGUCUGCUGGAGCCAGUUGAUUUGUUUACUUUCCCUCCCUCCUAGAUGUGUCCAUAACGUUCUGGAGGGGAAAAAACUGCUUCUCCUUUCGUCUGGGACUGGGUUCUUUUAAGUGGGAGAAAAAAAGAGAACAACUUUCUCCAUCUGUGAACAUUCAGCAAGGAAAACAUUCAGCUUGACUGCUGAAGAUAUUUCUUCUCGAUGAACAGGGUGCGUUGAGGAGAACUGCUGCUUCUUCGCCCCUCCAGUUGCCACCCCCGAAUAGGCAUGAUCAGCAAAUACUCAGCACAGCGCUCUCUCGGCGGCAGAUGCUGAUGAGCACAGGGAACUAGUUACGAGGCUGCAACGUGACCGUCGCAUCUCCCAGUGAUGGCCUCAUCAGCUACGCAGCUGUGCUUGGGCUACUGUCACUGCAUCUAGCAACCAGUUCUGAGUGACGCUCCCCCCCCACUCCCCUGCCCCCCCCCUCUCCCC
Long non-coding RNA from Esox lucius (northern pike), 621 nucleotides. Lineage: Eukaryota; Metazoa; Chordata; Actinopteri; Esociformes; Esocidae. The record is from Ensembl.